UACGUAGGGUGCGAGCGUUAAUCGGAAUUACUGGGCGUAAAGCGUGCGCAGGCGGUGAUGUAAGACAGGUGUGAAAUCCCGGGGCUCAACCUCGGAACUGCAUUUGUGACUGCAUCGCUGGAGUGCGGCAGAGGGGGAUGGAAUUCCGCGUGUAGCAGUGAAAUGCGUAGAUAUCAGGAAGAACACCCGUGGCUAAGGCGGCUCUCUAGUACGGUACUGACGCUGAGACGCGAAAGCGUGGGGAGCGAACAGG
This 253-nucleotide ribosomal RNA is filed under the name uncultured bacterium. RNAcentral's name for it is "partial 16S ribosomal RNA". It matches the Rfam family "Bacterial small subunit ribosomal RNA", at positions 524 to 776 of the family's 1533-position model. The record is from RNAcentral.